UGAAGAACGCAGCGAAUGCGAUACUUGGUGUGAAUUGCAGAAUCCCGUGAACCAUCGAGUCUUUGAACGCAAGUUGCGCCCAAAGCCAUUAGGCCGAGGGCACGUCUGCCUGGGCGUCACGCAUCGCGUCGCCACCCACCAUCGUCGUGAUGGGUGGCGGAUGUUGGCCUCCCGUGCCGCAAGCGGCCGGCCUAAAUGCGAGUCCUCGGCGAGAGACGUCACGACUAGUGGUGGUUGAAUGCCUCAACUCGAGUCCUGUCGUGCCGGUGCCCCUCGCCGUCGUCGGGCUCCCUCGACCCCGUAGCGUGCUCACAAGGGCGCGCCUCGACCGCGACCCAGGUCA
This 343-nucleotide ribosomal RNA is filed under the name Exostema salicifolium. RNAcentral's name for it is "partial 5.8S ribosomal RNA, ITS2". The stretch from base 1 to 119 matches the Rfam family "5.8S ribosomal RNA", at positions 37 to 154 of the family's 154-position model. Lineage: Eukaryota; Viridiplantae; Streptophyta; Magnoliopsida; Gentianales; Rubiaceae. The record is from RNAcentral.